AGUGAACGCUGGCGGUAGGCCUAACACAUGCAAGUCGAACGGCAGCACAGUAAGAGCUUGCUCUUACGGGUGGCGAGUGGCGGACGGGUGAGGAAUAUAUCGGAAUCUACUUUUUCGUGGGGGAUAACGUAGGGAAACUUACGCUAAUACCGCAUACGACCUACGGGUGAAAGCAGGGGAUCUUCGGACCUUGCGCGAUUGAAUGAGCCGCUGUCGGAUUAGCUAGUUGGCGGGGUGAAGGCCCACCAAGGGGACGAUCCGUAGCUGGUCUGAGAGGAUGGUCAGCCACACUGGAACGGGGCCACGGUCCAUACUCCUACGGGAGGCAGCAGUGGGGAAUAUUGGACAAUGGGCGCAAGCCUGAUCCAGCCAUACCGCGUGGGUGAAGAAGGCCUUCGGGUUGUAAAGCCCUUUUGUUGGGAAAGAAAAGCAGCAGGUUAAUACCCCGCUGUUCUGACGGUACCCAAAGAAUAAGCACCGGCUAACUUCGUG
Molecule: ribosomal RNA, 492 nt
Filed under: uncultured bacterium
Lineage: Bacteria
Description: partial 16S ribosomal RNA
Rfam family: Bacterial small subunit ribosomal RNA
Source: RNAcentral